RNAcentral lists this ribosomal RNA (253 nucleotides) under uncultured bacterium. RNAcentral describes it as "partial 16S ribosomal RNA". It matches the Rfam family "Bacterial small subunit ribosomal RNA", at positions 524 to 776 of the family's 1533-position model. The record is from RNAcentral.
UACGUAGGGCGCAAGCGUUGUCCGGAAUUAUUGGGCGUAAAGAGCUCGUAGGUGGCUUGUCACGUCGGGUGUGAAAGCUUGGGGCUUAACUCCAGGUCUGCAUUCGAUACGGGCUGGCUAGAGGUAGGUAGGGGAGAACGGAAUUCCUGGUGUAGCGGUGAAAUGCGCAGAUAUCGUUUGGAACGCCAAUGGUGAAAACAGACAGCUGGGAGUGUGCUGACGCUGAGACACGAAAGCCAGGGGAGCGAACGGG